This 265-nucleotide signal recognition particle RNA is filed under the name Candidatus Coatesiibacteriota bacterium. RNAcentral describes it as "Candidatus Coatesbacteria bacterium signal recognition particle sRNA large type". It matches the Rfam family "Bacterial large signal recognition particle RNA". Rfam says of the family: The signal recognition particle (SRP) is a universally conserved ribonucleoprotein involved in the co-translational targeting of proteins to membranes. Lineage: Bacteria; Candidatus Coatesiibacteriota. The record is from RNAcentral. RNAcentral also lists the same sequence under 1 other name.
CCGUGCUAGACGGGGAGCUAGCGGUGCCCUGAACCUGCAAUCCGCUAUAGCAGGGUUGAAUGCCCGCCCCCGGCCAGCUGGUUUUUCGGCCUGACCGUCGUAAGCGGUGUUGAAGGUCGGGUCCUGCGCAACGAGACUCUGUGAACCCCGUCAGGCCCGGAAGGGAGCAGCGGUAAGCAGACCCUCUCGUGUGCCGCAGGAGCGCCUGGUUGGAGCUGGCUGCGAUUGGUAUCGCGGGAGCCUCUGGUCAAAGGCGGGUGCACGG